RNAcentral lists this ribosomal RNA (765 nucleotides) under uncultured Paracoccaceae bacterium. RNAcentral's name for it is "bacterial SSU rRNA". It matches the Rfam family "Bacterial small subunit ribosomal RNA", at positions 104 to 905 of the family's 1533-position model. The record is from RNAcentral. Lineage: Bacteria; Pseudomonadati; Pseudomonadota; Alphaproteobacteria; Rhodobacterales; Paracoccaceae.
GGGUGAGUAACGCGUGGGAACCUACCCUGGGGUGGGGGACAACCACUGGAAACGGUGGCUAAUACCGCAUACGCCCUCCGGGGGAAAACUUUUGUGCCCUGGGAUGGUCCCGCGUCGGAUUAGCUAGUUGGUGGGGUAACGGCCUACCAAGGCGACGAUCCGUAACUGGUCUGAGAGGAUGAUCAGUCACACUGGAACUGAGACACGGUCCAGACUCCUACGGGAGGCAGCAGUGGGGAAUAUUGGACAAUGGGGGCAACCCUGAUCCAGCCAUGCCGCGUGGGUGAAGAAGGCCUUAGGGUUGUAAAACCCUUUCAGCGGGGAAGAUGAUGACGGUACCCGCAGAAGAAGCCCCGGCUAACUCCGUGCCAGCAGCCGCGGUAAUACGGAGGGGGCUAGCGUUGUUCGGAAUUACUGGGCGUAAAGGGCGUGUAGGCGGUCUAUCGAGUCAGGCGUGAAAGCCCCGGGCUUAACCUGGGAACUGCGUUUGAUACUGAUAGACUAGAGGUUGGAAGAGGAGAGUGGAAUUCCCAGUGUAGAGGUGAAAUUCGUAGAUAUUGGGAAGAACACCAGUGGCGAAGGCGGCUCUCUGGUCCAUACCUGACGCUGAGGCGCGAAAGCGUGGGGAGCAAACAGGAUUAGAUACCCUGGUAGUCCACGCCGUAAACGAUGUGUGCUAGACGUCGGGUGUUCAGCAUUCGGUGUCGGAGCUAACGCAUUAAGCACACCGCCUGGGGAGUAACGGCCGCAAGGUUAAAACUCAAA